UUAAAUUGAAGAGUUUGAUCAUGGCUCAGAUUGAACGCUGGCGGCAGGCCUAACACAUGCAAGUCGAACGGUAACAGGAAGCAGCUUGCUGCUUUGCUGACGAGUGGCGGACGGGUGAGUAAUGUCUGGGAAACUGCCUGAUGGAGGGGGAUAACUACUGGAAACGGUGGCUAAUACCGCAUAACGUCG
RNAcentral lists this ribosomal RNA (189 nucleotides) under Salmonella enterica subsp. enterica serovar Kentucky. RNAcentral describes it as "partial 16S ribosomal RNA". It matches the Rfam family "Bacterial small subunit ribosomal RNA", at positions 1 to 181 of the family's 1533-position model. Lineage: Bacteria; Pseudomonadati; Pseudomonadota; Gammaproteobacteria; Enterobacterales; Enterobacteriaceae. The record is from RNAcentral.